This 487-nucleotide ribosomal RNA is filed under the name uncultured bacterium. RNAcentral describes it as "bacterial SSU rRNA". It matches the Rfam family "Bacterial small subunit ribosomal RNA", at positions 30 to 515 of the family's 1533-position model. The record is from RNAcentral.
AUUGAACGCUGGCGGAAUGCUUUACACAUGCAAGUCGAACGGUAGAGGGGGCAACCCCUUGAGAGUGGCGAACGGGUGAGUAAUAUAUCGGAACGUGCCCAGUCGUGGGGAUAACGUAGCGAAAGUUACGCUAAUACCGCAUACGAUCUAAGGAUGAAAGCGGGGGAUCGCAAGACCUCGCGCGAUUGGAGCGGCCGAUAUCAGAUUAGGUAGUUGGUGGGGUAAAGGCUCACCAAGCCAACGAUCUGUAGCUGGUCUGAGAGGACGACCAGCCACACUGGAACUGAGACACGGUCCAGACUCCUACGGGAGGCAGCAGUGGGGAAUUUUGGACAAUGGACGCAAGUCUGAUCCAGCCAUUCCGCGUGCAGGAUGAAGGCCCUCGGGUUGUAAACUGCUUUUGUACGGAACGAAAAGGUUUCUCUUAAUACGAUGAGCUCAUGACGGUACCGUAAGAAUAAGCACCGGCUAACUACGUGCCAGCAGC